Molecule: non-coding RNA, 3808 nt
Organism: Pelodiscus sinensis (Chinese soft-shelled turtle)
Lineage: Eukaryota; Metazoa; Chordata; Testudines; Trionychidae
Source: RefSeq, a predicted model, not a curated record
UUCCCCCUGGGGCACCUGGCAUUGGUCACUGGUGAGAGAACACUGGGCUAGAUGGACCUUUGGUCUGAUCCGGUCUGAUCAUUCUAAUGUUCUUAUUUUAUGUAGUAUAGACUAGGGUUUAGUCCCAGAGUGAGAGUAAUAUGGUGAGGGAGAUAAUACCUUUUAUUGGAGCAAUUUCUGUAUUAGCAUCACACCUUCAAAAGAUGAACCCGGGCACUUAAAUUCAUAACUCUGCUGGACACUAAAAACCAUUGGAUUUAAUAGAUAGUGUUUUUUAUGGCCCAUUAUAACAACUUGUAACAUACCGUGCUAUUUUCUAACCCUCCAGUGCCCAGUUUCUGCAGAGGAGUUACUUGGCCACUGUAUUUUAAGUGCUGCACAACACGUAUGUGAAACCCUUAUGUUCUACAUUUUCUUUUUCCAGACCUAAAGAAGAACUCUAUGAAACUCAAGAGCUUGUCCCUUCUGCCAGUAGAAAUUGGUCCAGUAAAAGAUAUUACCUCAUCCACCUUGAUUCUUUCAUAAAUAUAUCGGAUGUGAUUCUUUUUGUGCUUUCUGGAUCUAGCUAAGCAGGACUCAGGUUUCACUAUAUAAACUGGGGUCCAAGAAGGAGACCUGCAAGGAGAGCAGAAAGGGAAACAAGCACAGAAAGGAACAACAACAAGAAGGGGAAAGACCUGGAAGGAGAACUCGCUGCCAAGACACAGCCUAAGACCAGAACUGCCAGGAUUUUCCUGCACGACCAUGACAUGCAGCAGCUAAGAUCCAGAGAGAGACUAAUCCUGCCGGGCUGACAGAGGAAGUCUGCCUGCCUGUACCGGGAUUGGUGAGCAUGACACUGCCAUGUCUACACUACAGAGGAGAGCGAAGCUGUCGCUGUCCAUCUUCCGGGUUCAACCGAGUGGGUCUAGUGAAGGCACACUCAUUCAAACUGAGAGGGUGCUCCUGUUGACAUCGGUGGUCCUGCUCCUACGAGGAAUAAGAGAAGCCGAAGAGAGAGGGUGCUCCCCUUGACCUCUCGCUGUGUGGAUGGCACAAAAAUGUUAUGUAAGAUACUUCGUAAUUAACGUAGGUGGCGUUGCGUCUCUUAAUUUGACCUUAUCUCCUACUGUGGACCUGGCCCCGGAGUAAAUUUUGACUCUUCCCUCAUCCCAUAAAGUGGCAGACCAACAGUGUCUGCACGGUCAUGGCUGCUACAAUGGGGAAGAACUCGCCAUUAGCAAAGGCAGCUCAGCGCAUCUCUAGAAGCCAGGGAAAGCUAAACUGUGCCGGCGGUACACGUGCAUGGGACCCUGGGCAUUCUUAACAACACAGAGAACCCGUCGGCACUUAAAGACAAAGUCGUGGGGCAGAGGUGAAUACAUUCGGUUUGUGCACACACUUCUCUGCUGAGCUUGGCAUCUUUCCUGCCUCUCACGUGUUUCCCUCUCGGAACAACAUAAAAAAGUUUAAAUGUCAGAGGGAGGAAAACACACUGAAAAUUGUUGGCCAUAUUCCCGACAUUUUCCAUUCGCUGGAUGUCUCAGAGAUUAUGAGGUGAGGACAGACCAUUCCCUGCCCUCCUCUAGACACCUGCCAGUACGCACCAGGAAGAAAAUACCGAAAUCCUCUGCACUGCACCACGUGCUCACUGCAGACCCAGUGGUUUGUGGAGACUUCUGCCUCCUUCAGAGCUACACUUCAACCAGAACCCUGACUAGACGCUACUGCAACACCUGCUGUCGUCCUCUACCAAGACCUUGGGGAUGGAGUUUGCCUGAUUUAAUUCUCACUGCAAGCACUGUUGUUCUCAAUUAAUAUAUGUAUAACAUCAGAAUGGGAGAAGGGUUGAGAUGGGGGGCAGAAAAGACUAUUUUAAUCAGAACUCAAGGAUAUCAGGCAUUCCUAAUCACCUAGAAAUACACAUGAUUCAGUAAGUAGGAGCGGCUGAAAGUUUCUCACCAGUGUCUUGGGCUUGAUAAAUAAUGGAACACACAAACCUGAGAAACCAAUUCACUAGUAAGUUGCUUCUGUGCAUUUCGUUUUCAAGGAUGCAGGGAGGUGCUUACAGCCAGGAAGCCGGGAUCUCUGACACCUCAGGAAGGGGAGGAAGAGAUGUGUGUGGAAAUGAUUCAGGGGCAAAGAGGCAAGAGGAGGAGAAGGGCAAGGGACUGCGUCUCUCCUCACUAACGAUCCCUCAUUUUUUUUCCUCCUUCGUGCAGAAUAAAUGUUGUUCUGUGCACUGAGACAUGUGCGGAUGUGCACCACCAUUAGAAAGACAUGCCGUCGGUGGUGGGUGCUCUGCUAGUCAGCUGGGCGGCACUGGAAUCUCGCCUGGGUGGCCACCCAAGUGCUCAGCCUGCAGAGAACCCUGCCCUUAAUCCUAUGAGAAGGGGAGAGAAGAAGGUGAGCAGGGAAAAAGAGCGGAAUCUGGCCACACUGCAUUUUUCAGCCAGUGAUCACAGAAGCGCCCAGGGCGUGUGGGACGGUGUGAGAGAAAGGGGAAAGGAAGUGGGCAGAGCAUGGGAAGACAGACAGGGGCACUAGCCGAGACAGGGAACAAACCAGUGGGAAGAGUGGAGAUAACAGGAGGGGAAGGGGAGUAUUAAAUGUCUGAUCCUGGAUGGGGCGUGGUGACAGGGGCUUAAGUAGAAGCAGCUGCCACUGUCACAGACCCUCCGGCCCCUCCCCCACCCUCAAAGUCCCUUUCACACCCUGGAUCCCGUUUAUCUGAGGAAGUGACUUCUGCUGUUGAGAAACGUGUUUUGCUGCACUGCUGUGGCAGACAUUCUCCACACCGUCGUUUUUUCAGCCACGUCGUCUCGCAGGACCCAUCUUCCCACAGAUCCUUCUGUGGCUACCCCCAAGGAGAGGCCAUUUCCUUUGGGAGCUGGAGGGGCUAGGUCACUGAGAGUCUGCUGGUAUUUUACAUUGCUGCUGUCGGAUGAUCAUUGACAUCAGGUCCUUGUGUGCCGCAUUCCUGUCUUCUGGCAGUGCAGGGCUGCGUGGGGCUGCUGAUGUUCACUGCAGUAAGAGCAGUCUAAGAUUCAAGAGCAUAUCUUACUUGGUACCCAUGGGGGGCAGCUACCCCCACUUGGACCUGAAGGGUUUAAAGCAGGCUGGAGGGAACCGGCACAGAGCCCUGGCCAAUCAGAAAAGGGUUUAGAAGGAGCCAAUGAGAAGGCAGCUUGCUGGGGGCAGCUCUGGUUAUAAGAAGCUGCUCAGCAGAGCAGAGGGCAGUUGUGGCCUGACCAGGGAGGGGGGCAGGACUGGUUCCUAGAGGAGUGCUUGAGAGAAAGCGGGGCCGGGCAGGCUCAGGGGAGCUAGCAGAGGGCUCCAGCCUGAUGCCGGCCAGGCUGCAGGCCUGGAUACAGGGGCCAGGAAGGUGUAAGGACCACAGGGAAGGGACCAGGGAACAGGAGGCAUUUAAGAGAGCAGGUCAAGGCUACUGCCUUAGGGUCCUCAGGCUGGGACCCAGAGUAGUGGGCAGGCCCCCCCUUUCCCUCUUGCACAGCACCUAGCCACACUGAUGAGUGGCCUUUACAAACUGGGACUUGCCCCUGAAGCGAGGGGCUGGACUGAGGCUGCAGUUGGCUACAGAGGCUGGCACAAGGCUGCAGUCUGCUGGUACCCCGUGAAGGGGGCGAGCGACCAGUGUGGUGGGCAUUGCUGGAGGGCGGAGUCCCGAAAAGGAUGCCAUGGUUGGAGGGCAACGUGGUGUGACGUAGUGGGGGUACCUGGCUGGUUUCUAUUCUGCUGGCUCUGGGGUAACCUCCACUGGCUGCUGUGGGUACCACGACCCAGCAAAACAGGAUGAGUCACUAUGCAA